UCUGUUGAGCAGCAGAUUAGACAUAUUGCCCAGUCUGGUCAGUGUCCAUCCCAUUACCAACCAUAUGGAACUGCUAAGGACAUUUACGAGCAUGUUCAGUGGAACUCUUAUGAUGAGCUGGAAGUGCGUUCAUUCAAACUGAAGACAAGUUGGAAAUAGGUUCAGUGAAACUGAGGACAAGUUGGAAAUAGGUUCAGUGAAUCUGAGGACAAGUUGGAAGUGAAGCUGAGGUGUUGGCGGUGUGUUCUGCGGUAACUCUGAGGAUGAGUUGGAGGUUCUGUUACCCAGUUUUGAUUCACAGCGCUCUCCAGUCCAGCCCUCCUUACAGAAGCAGCUCCCAUCUCCCUCCAGCCCAUCCUCGCACUUUCCGUUCUUGGUACAGGUACAUUCUGCCAAAGACAAGAGUGGGAUAGCCAUUUCACAACCAAUUCAAACUGAGCAUCAGACUGGAUUACAAGUUGACUGUGGAAUCAACAUCAGAACAUCAGAUAUGAUUCCAGAGUCAGCUGCUGGACAGGUCACCAUGCAGUUUGUUUUAUCUAUUUUAAAUACAUUAUUUGAUACUAUUUAUUAAAAUAAAGAAGGGCCCUGAAAUAA
This is a long non-coding RNA of Anguilla rostrata (American eel), 597 nucleotides long. RefSeq lists it as uncharacterized. The record is from RefSeq and is a predicted model, not a curated record. The transcript is spliced from 2 exons. NCBI's taxonomy places the organism in Eukaryota, Metazoa, Chordata, Actinopteri, Anguilliformes, Anguillidae.